AUCUAUCCGACGAGUCCCAAAUAGGACGAAAGGCGUGUCUUGGAU
Molecule: non-coding RNA, 45 nt
Filed under: Schistosoma mansoni
Lineage: Eukaryota; Metazoa; Platyhelminthes; Trematoda; Strigeidida; Schistosomatidae
Source: RNAcentral